Molecule: ribosomal RNA, 253 nt
Filed under: uncultured bacterium
Lineage: Bacteria
Description: partial 16S ribosomal RNA
Rfam family: Bacterial small subunit ribosomal RNA
Source: RNAcentral
UACGUAGGUGGCGAGCGUUGUCCGGAUUUACUGGGCGUAAAGGGCGUGCAGGCGGUUUGUUAAGUGCAGGGUGAAAGCUCCCGGCUCAACUGGGAGAGGUCCUUGCAUACUGGCGAACUCGAGGGAGGCAGAGGAAAGUGGAAUUCCCGGUGUAGUGGUGAUAUGCGUAGAUAUCGGGAGGAACACCUGUGGCGAAGGCGGCUCUCUGGACAGGUACUGACGCUGAGACGCGAAAGCGUGGGUAGCAAACAGG